CCAUACGUGUCGAUUUGUCCUUUU
RNAcentral lists this non-coding RNA (24 nucleotides) under Arabidopsis thaliana (thale cress). Lineage: Eukaryota; Viridiplantae; Streptophyta; Magnoliopsida; Brassicales; Brassicaceae. The record is from RNAcentral.